GCUGGCGGCACGCUUAACACAUGCAAGUCGAACGAGAUCUUCGGAUCUAGUGGCAGACGGGUGCGUAACGCGUGGGAACCUGCCCUUUAGUAAGGAAUAACUUUAGGAAACUGAAGCUAAUACCUUAUAAUCCCUUCGGGGGAAAGCUUUAUGCGCUAAUGGAUGGGCCCGCGUUAGAUUAGCUUGUUGGUGAGGUAAAGGCUCACCAAGGCUACGAUCUAUAGCUGGUCUGAGAGGAUGAUCAGCCACACUGGGACUGAGACACGGCCCAGACUCCUACGGGAGGCAGCAGUGGGGAAUAUUGGACAAUGGGGGCAACCCUGAUCCAGCGAUGCCGCGUGAGUGAUGAAGGCCCUAGGGUUGUAAAACUCUUUCGCCAGGGAAGAUAAUGACGGUACCUGGUAAAGAAGAUCCGGCUAACUCCGUGCCAGCAGCCGCGGUAAUACGGAGGGAUCUAGCGUUAUUCGGAAUAACUGGGCGUAAAGCGAGCGUAGGCGGAUUUGUAAGUUGGAGGUGAAAUCCCAGGGCUUAACCCUGGAACUGCCUUCAAAACUACAUUUCUUGAGUUUGGUAGAGGAGAGUGGAAUUCCUAGUGUAGAGGUGAAAUUCGUAGAUAUUAGGAGGAACACCAGUGGCGAAGGCGACUCUCUGGGCCAAUACUGACGCUGAGGUUCGAAAGCGUGGGUAGCGAACAGGAUUAGAUACCCUGGUAGUCCACGCAGUAAACGAUGAGUGCUAGAUGUUGGGAACAUUAGUUUUCAGUAUCGCAGCUAACGCGUUAAGCACUCCGCCUGG
RNAcentral lists this ribosomal RNA (795 nucleotides) under uncultured Alphaproteobacteria bacterium. RNAcentral describes it as "bacterial SSU rRNA". It matches the Rfam family "Bacterial small subunit ribosomal RNA", at positions 35 to 876 of the family's 1533-position model. Lineage: Bacteria; Pseudomonadati; Pseudomonadota; Alphaproteobacteria. The record is from RNAcentral.